RNAcentral lists this long non-coding RNA (1029 nucleotides) under Fragaria vesca (wild strawberry). RNAcentral's name for it is "long non-coding RNA (FVES_LNC004330)". The record is from RNAcentral. Lineage: Eukaryota; Viridiplantae; Streptophyta; Magnoliopsida; Rosales; Rosaceae.
AAAGUUUAGGGAUGAAACUAGAUUUAAAAAAAGAUGAGGUAUCGGACUGAAUUUAGACCUAAAAUUCAGGGGAGUAAACUGAAAUUUUUACCUAAAAAAUAUGUAGUAUAAAGGUUAAUCACACAGUUCACACUACGAUUUAUGGUUGUACGAUACUUACGAUAUAUGAUUCGGACGCACUGCUUAUAUUUUGGUGCUCAAUUUGACGAACAUGACCACAAAGUUUACUGACCGGUAAGCAUAGAUCAUAAAAUUGACUUUGAAGAGACUGACCAGAUCUGAUCAUUUCCCCAAUCUUCUCCUCAUUGUCAGCAACAACAAUCCUCUCCUAGAGCGCAUCCUUUUUUUGGUUAAUACCAUUGAUUGGACAUUGAGAAACAUCAAUAUAUAUAUAUAGGCCCGAUCAGAAGCGGACGUCCACACUGAAGAAAAAGUGCAGACGCCGACUCAAAGAGGCUCUAGGCGACGUCAAUGGCAGCUCUGCUUCUGUCCUUGAAGACAUCAGACAUUCCAGACGUCGUCAUCAUCAAGGUGAAAGCCGAGGUGAGCUAGAUCGAUGGUUCGACCAGGAAGUUUACCAGAAAACUUCAAGCACCACAUUCUCGACUUCGAACUUUUUGUUGGAGAGUCCACCGGUAAGGAAAAGGACAGGAUGGAGGUUUGCUUCAACGCCAUCAAGGUUGCCGACGUUGUCAGCACCACCUAGAGCCUUCUUGAGCCGGCGUCCGCACUUUUUCACCUUUGCGGACGUCCGCCUUUGAUCUUUUCUAUAUAUAUAUAUAUAUACAGUCGGGAUCAGAGGCAGACAUCCGCACGCCCUUACGUGCGGACAUCCGAACGUUCUCCACCGUACGGCUCCAACGACUGCGCACCUCCACCCUAGCCGCCUCCAGCAGCGUCCCCUAUCAUUUUCCCUCCGUGGCGAGUCUGCCGAAUUUCAGUUUUCCGGCGAGAUCGAUUUUGUUUCAAGUUUUGGGUGAUCUCGCCCGAAAACUGGAUUUCGGUGGACUCGCCGGGGAGGGAAAGUGA